GUCGAACGGCAGCACGGGAGCAAUCCUGCUGGCGAGUGGCGAACGGGUGAGUAAUAUAUCGGAACGUGCCCAGUCGUGGGGGAUAACGCAGCGAAAGCUGUGCUAAUACUUGAUACAAUCUAUGGAUGAAAUGGGUGGAGUCGUAAGGGCCUCGCGCGAUUGGAGCGGCCGAUAUCAGAUUAGCUAGUUGGCGGGGUAAAAGCCCACCAAGGCCACAAUCUGUAGCUGGUCUGAGAGGACGACCAUGCGCUCUGUGCCUGAUUCCCGGUCCAGACUCCUGCCGGGGCCGCUGCUGUAGAAUUUUGGACAAUGCGCGAAAAGAGGAUCCUUCAAUGCCGCGUGCUCUUCCGCUUCCUUCCUCAUGGACUUGCUUUUGCGGGAACGAAACUGCUCUUCCUAAUACCGGCUCAUAAUGACGCGACCAUACGAAUAUCCACCGAAUUAACUACAUGCCAGCAGCCGCGGUUGUACAUAAAGUGCCAGCGAAAAUCCAAAUUACUG
This 501-nucleotide ribosomal RNA is filed under the name uncultured bacterium. RNAcentral's name for it is "bacterial SSU rRNA". It matches the Rfam family "Bacterial small subunit ribosomal RNA", at positions 61 to 556 of the family's 1533-position model. The record is from RNAcentral.